Molecule: small nucleolar RNA, 213 nt
Filed under: Carlito syrichta (Philippine tarsier)
Lineage: Eukaryota; Metazoa; Chordata; Mammalia; Primates; Tarsiidae
Description: Small Cajal body specific RNA 6 (ENSTSYG00000024339.2)
Rfam family: Small Cajal body specific RNA 6
About the family: U88 is small Cajal body specific RNA (scaRNA). scaRNAs are a novel class of small nuclear RNAs which localise to the Cajal bodies. U88 is found associated with both fibrillarin and Gar1p and co-localises with coilin in Cajal bodies.
Source: Rfam by way of RNAcentral
AACAUGGGAUCCAACCUAGACCUCCAGCUGUCCCCCAUCAGGCCCCAGUAGGCUGUGUUGGGCAAAAGGGCCACUGACACUCUGUGAUGUCCCCAUUCUGGUCCUCUGGCAAACUCUGGAAAGACGCCUUGGUUGGCAUCCAACGACUUAGUCGCAGAAAGCUUUGAUGGUGGGGAGUGCUAGUAUCUGUGGUUAUGAUGUGAUCCUUUCAAG